RNAcentral lists this ribosomal RNA (253 nucleotides) under uncultured bacterium. RNAcentral describes it as "partial 16S ribosomal RNA". It matches the Rfam family "Bacterial small subunit ribosomal RNA", at positions 524 to 776 of the family's 1533-position model. The record is from RNAcentral.
UACGUAGGGGGCAAGCGUUGUCCGGAUUUAUUGGGCGUAAAGAGCGUGUAGGCGGCCGGGUAGGUCUGCUGUGAAAACUCGAGGCUUAACCUCGAGAUGUCGGCGGAAACCAUCUGGCUAGAGUCCGGAAGAGGAGAAUGGAAUUCCCGGUGUAGCGGUGAAAUGCGCAGAUAUCGGGAAGAACACCCGUGGCGAAGGCGGUUCUCUGGGACGGUACUGACGCUGAGACGCGAAAGCGUGGGGAGCGAACAGG